GAUGAACGCUGGCGGCGUGCCUAAUACAUGCAAGUCGAGCGAACGGACGAGAAGCUUGCUUUUCUGAUGUUAGCGGCGGACGGGUGAGUAACACGUGGAUAACCUACCUAUUAGACUGGGAUAACUUCGGGAAACCGGAGCUAAUACCGGAUAAUAUUUUGAACCGCAUGGUUCAAAAGUGAAAGACGGUCUUGCUGUCACUUAUAGAUGGAUCCGCGCUGCAUUAGCUAGUUGGUAAGGUAACGGCUUACCAAGGCAACGAUGCAUAGCCGACCUGAGAGGGUGAUCGGCCACACUGGAACUGAGACACGGUCCAGACUCCUACGGGAGGCAGCAGUAGGGAAUCUUCCGCAAUGGGCGAAAGCCUGACGGAGCAACGCCGCGUGAGUGAUGAAGGUCUUCGGAUCGUAAAACUCUGUUAUUAGGGAAGAACAUAUGUGUAAGUAACUGUGCACAUCUUGACGGUACCUAAUCAGAAAGCCACGGCUAACUACGUG
RNAcentral lists this ribosomal RNA (497 nucleotides) under uncultured bacterium. RNAcentral's name for it is "partial 16S ribosomal RNA". It matches the Rfam family "Bacterial small subunit ribosomal RNA", at positions 28 to 507 of the family's 1533-position model. The record is from RNAcentral.